Molecule: ribosomal RNA, 418 nt
Filed under: uncultured soil bacterium
Lineage: Bacteria
Description: bacterial SSU rRNA
Rfam family: Bacterial small subunit ribosomal RNA
Source: RNAcentral
AGAACGAACGCUGGCGGCAUGCCUAACACAUGCAAGUCGAACGAGACCUUCGGGUCUAGUGGCGCACGGGUGCGUAACGCGUGGGAAUCUGCCCUUGGGUUCGGGAUAACAGUUGGAAACGACUGCUAAUACCGGAUGAUGACUUCGGUCCAAAGAUUUAUCGCCCAGGGAUGAGCCCGCGUAGGAUUAGCUAGUCGGUGAGGUAAAGGCUCACCAAGGCGACGAUCCUUAGCUGGUCUGAGAGGAUGAUCAGCCACACUGGGACUGAGACACGGCCCAGACUCCUACGGGAGGCAGCAGGUGGGAAUAUUGGACAAGUAGGGACCGAAAGCCUGACUACCAGACAAUGGCCGCGGUGAGUAGGAUAGGAACGGUACCGUUAGGGUUAGUAAAGGUCUUUACCGUUUUACCCGGAUUA